Molecule: long non-coding RNA, 1114 nt
Filed under: Cyanistes caeruleus (blue tit)
Lineage: Eukaryota; Metazoa; Chordata; Aves; Passeriformes; Paridae
Description: lncRNA (ENSCCEG00000011388.1)
Source: RNAcentral
AUGUGGCCUAGAGAAGCCCAUCAAUCUUCAAAUCCAAUUGUUCCAGACUAUACAGACUUUUUGCAGCAGCUCCAUACUGACUAUUUAGGGAAGAUCUGUUUUCUGGAAAGAUAAGAAAUUACUUCCAUUGAGACUCCUACUUCAGCAUCACAAGGAUCAAUUUGAGAGUGCAUAUCAGAAUGGAACAGUGGCACAAGAAGUUAUUAGAGGAACACUGUCUUAAUCCCCAAUGACAGAACUAGAAAUUUGCUGGAGCCGGUAGUUACAGAAGAAAUUGUUCUCUAAUGAGCAUUUAUGUGUACCAGUGUAUUAUUUGGUGAAUUUAAGAUGCAGCUCAAGACGGCAAUUUUCUCAACAGCAAGAUCUGUUGCCCAUUGUUGCUUUUUUUAGUUUGCAAACCUACUUGUCUGUAUAGAUGUAAGUCAAUCCAGACCAGGGCACUGAUUAAAAUUACAAACCAAAUUUUUUUAUAGGGAGUGUGACAUUUUUCUUUUGGAAGGUUUGCUUUUAUUCUGUUUCAUUUCCUAAACUAAUUAAUUGUAUAGCUGAAAAAAAGAGCUGAAUUAGCACAAUACUGAGCCUGUUGGAGGGUACGCCCAAAGAGAAAGGGACAAAUAUUUUGGCUUUAUUGCUAAAAAAAUGUGAUUAAAGACACAGCUUCAGUCCUGUGUUUAUGGUGGAAGUAGUGAUUUAUUAAUGCCUGUAUAAACAAUUUUGGUAUCACAGACAGAUAUAGGCCCCUCCAAUCGGUGGUCUGACUCCAGUUGCAGCUCUCAGGGCUUUAUACUAGUGGGACUAAUGGCCUGCCCCAGGAAAGGGUGCCCAUUUCAGAGAAGUCAUUUGUAGAGAAGGGCCUUUGAAAGAUUGCUGGCUCUCCCUGCCAGAGAGGCCAGAGGCUGUAGUGAACACCUUUUUUACUGUGUAAGGCUUGGGUGACCCCAGCUCUAAUGUCACUGCCAGUCUAGCCUUACUCACACAAGCAACACCUCUUUUACUUACAACUACUCUUUUAUUACUAAUUGUAAUCAGUCAUUGAACUGCAACGUGCAAUAUUUUGAGGGGAUAAUCCAGAGAUGUAAUGGCCUCCUGAUCAAGAGAUGAAGGUCAGGUAGUG